This 483-nucleotide ribosomal RNA is filed under the name uncultured bacterium. RNAcentral's name for it is "partial 16S ribosomal RNA". It matches the Rfam family "Bacterial small subunit ribosomal RNA", at positions 28 to 507 of the family's 1533-position model. The record is from RNAcentral.
GACGAACGCUGGCGGCGUGCUUAACACAUGCCAGUCGAACGAUGAAGCGGGUGCUUGCCCUCGUGGAUUAGUGGCGAACGGGCGAGUAACACGUGAGUAACCUGUCCUUUUCUUUGGGAUAACGGCUGGAAACGGCUGCUAAUACUGGAUAUUCAGGCUGCAUCGCAUGGUGUGGUUUGGAAAGGUUUUUUCUGGGAUUGGGUGGGCUCGCGGCCUAUCAGCUUGUUGGUGGGGUGAUGGCUUACCAAGGCUUUGACGGGUAGCCGGCCUGAGAGGGUGGUCGGUCGCACUGGGACUGAGAUACGGCCCAGACUCCUACGGGAGGCAGCAGUGGGGAAUAUUGCACAAUGGACGAAAGUUUGAUGCAGCGACGCCGCGUGGAGGGUGUAGGCCUUCGGGUUGUGAACUCCUUUGUCUCGCGAAAAAGGCACAGUUUUGGCUGUGUUGAUGGUAGUGGGGGAAGAAGCGCCGGCUAACUACGUG